Cynara cardunculus var. scolymus (artichoke) is the source of this 618-nucleotide long non-coding RNA. RefSeq lists it as uncharacterized. Lineage: Eukaryota; Viridiplantae; Streptophyta; Magnoliopsida; Asterales; Asteraceae. The transcript has 2 exons. The record is from RefSeq and is a predicted model, not a curated record.
UGUUAUCCGGUUAACAUACACGCAGUAACAGUGUGCAGUAAACAGCAGGUUCAAAUUGAUUUUGGUUUGAUAUUACAGCAGCUGUUCGUUCUUACUGGUUCUUCACGAUUGGUUUUAUUGAUAUAUGAUUUGAACCAAGUUUAUCAGCAGCUAAACAGCAGGAGUUUACAAUAACAGCAGCUGUUUCACUUUGCUUAAAACUGGUUUGUUGUGUUUGUAAUAACAGGUUUUGUUAUCUUGACAGUCUUGACAACAGCUUAUGUUUCAAAACAGCAGAUUCAUAGCAGGUCUGUAACAAUUAACAGCAGGUCUUGCUGUGUUUGGCAAGUAGAAAGCAUUGUGCAUUAUAAUAGAAAUAACAGCAAAGCAGCCCAGCUACACAUUUUGACAUCAACAGGUGCUUAACAGCAGUCCAACACAGCAACCAGUGUGCAGCAAAGGUUUGAAACAACAAGCUGUGCUGUGAUGGGUUUUGACAGCAACUAAGCAGCAGACUUAAGUGUGAUUUUAUCACAGUUUUAUCAGCUUCAUUUUAAAUUGUGUUGUGUUUGUAAUGAGCAACUGGUUGUAAACCUGAACUGAGACUUGAGCAGGAUUAGGUUUGUGUUUUUGUGACUA